AUACAAAUUAAAAUACUAUCAAAACAGUAAAUUCUUUUAUUAAAUAAAUUAAUAUUAAAUAUAUUAAAAUUAACACUAAUAAUUCAACCCAACAUAUUAUUAUUAAUUUAUCAUAUCGAAUACGAGGUAAUACACCACGAAUUAUAAUUAAUAAAAUUAAAUGAAAUAAAUAAACUAAAAUAAAACUAAAUGAUCAUCAAUUUAAUCCAAGAAACAUUAUUGUUAAUAAUAAUCUUAUAAAUAUAACAUUUAAAUAUUCAGAUAAAAAAAUUAAUACAAAUAAUCUUCUAUAAUAUUCAACAUUAAAUCGAGAAACUAAUUCUGAUUCGCCUUCAAUCAAAUCAAAUGGAACUCGAUUUAAAUCAAUUAAUGCUCUAAUUAUAAAAAUAAUAUAUAAAGGAUAUAUAAAAAAAUAUAUAUAUAUAUUAUAUUGAAAUUUUAUAAAUAUAAAUAAAGAAUAAUUCUCAAUUAAAAUUAUUAAUAUAAAAAAAUCGAUUAACAUUUAAUUUCUAAAUAUAUAUUGUAAUUUUUUAUUCAACAAAAACAUAAUUAUAUAUUUAACUCUUUUUCUUU
Bombus huntii is the source of this 573-nucleotide long non-coding RNA. RefSeq lists it as uncharacterized. The transcript has 2 exons. NCBI's taxonomy places the organism in Eukaryota, Metazoa, Arthropoda, Insecta, Hymenoptera, Apidae. The record is from RefSeq and is a predicted model, not a curated record.